Cricetulus griseus (Chinese hamster) is the source of this 1476-nucleotide non-coding RNA. The record is from RefSeq and is a predicted model, not a curated record. Lineage: Eukaryota; Metazoa; Chordata; Mammalia; Rodentia; Cricetidae.
UCAGAAGAGGGGUUGGGGGCGGUGCGGAGGACCGGAUCAAACCACCCUGUACCAAGAUGACCUGCAUACAGGACUCAAAAACAAAAAAACCCAACACCCCCAACCCAUUGGGGCCUUUUCGGCUAGGGGCUUUCUGUACCUCCUACCCUGGGAUCUGUAGACCAAUUCCAAGAGAAGUUUGCACCGCAUUUCCGUACAUCGACUACAGAAACUAGCUAACUCGCACAGAACUUGGGAGAUCCAUGUCCUCACGUGGUGAAACCAAAAGAGUGUGAGGUACAGUAGACCCAUUCGAAUAUCCAGGCGGAAGAAAAGAAUUGCAUUGGCCACUUUACUAAACAUGAAGAUGUUGCCUACAUGUUGCUCCACGGUGACUGGAACAGAGAUAUACCACAGUCAGGCUGGGCUGAAGGCUCCCACUCUUUGGCCCUCUUCCUGGGGUACUUUGACAUGGGAACAGGAGGGAGAGGAUACAGAAGACCAAGGUCAAACUAGCCCCUGGCAUGAAAUGUGGAACUAGUUCAUUAAACAGUGCUCAUCCAAUAACACGAAAAAGGAGCUUCUCCAGGGCAUGAGUCCUAACCCCCAGUCAGAGCAAACAAAGCAGGUGAGCUUACUGGAUCUGCGGUUCUUCAUCAUCACAAUGGCACUGAGGAACAUCAGGAUCUCCACUUCUCUCUGGAAGAUAAUCAGAGACAGCAACUUGGUGAAUGAAGCUGGUGGGGUAGAGGACAAAACAUGAAAUGCAAAACAAGAGAAGAGAUCCAGCUUGGGUUGGUGAUAAAGAAGUAACUGGAGCUGACUAAGGUGUAGUGGGACCAACAAAUCGAAAGAGCUAGGUUUAGAGUCUCCUCUUGGCAACUGAAUGGUAUCUUUCAGCAAAUCCCCUACCUUUGAGUUUCCUCUUCUUUCUUUUUCCUCCCUCCCUCCCCUUUUAUCCUUGAGACUUCCUCUCACUAUCUUGCCCAGGCAAUUCCCCUGCCUCAGCCUCUAAAGUAUCUGGACUGUAAUGGUACAUCACCAUGUCCCACUGGUUUUCUUUUUUUAACUACAUUUAUUUAUUUUGUGUGUGUGUGUACCCCUCCAUGUGCCACAGCACACAUGUGAUGUUAGAGGAUAACUUGCCAGACUCAGUUCUUUCCUUCUGCAUCACUGUGUAGUCCAGGCAGGCUUCAAACUCACUGUGCUCCUCCUACCUCAGCCUCUUGAGUGCUGGGUUCUCUGUCAUUUGGUUUUGAGGAAGGAUCUUACUAUAUAGUUUAGGCUACAAUGUUCUGUCUUUAUUUUUUUUUUAAACUUUGUUUUGUUUUCGAGAAUGUUUUGUAGGUCGUGCUGGCAUCCAACUCCCUAUAAUGGUUUUCUUUACACUUGUGAUCUUGCCUCCACCUUCCAAAUGCCAAUAUUACAGAUGUAUACUACCAUGCUGCACAAUUACUAUUAUUAAUAUUAUUACAAUUUCUUUUCAGUGAGUCUCAA